UACGAAGGGUGCAAACGUUGCUCGGAAUUAUUGGGCGUAAAGCGCACGUAGGCGGCUUGGCAAGUCGGAUGUGAAAUCCCUCGGCUCAACCAAGGAAGUGCAUCCGAAACUGCUGAGCUUGAGUACUUAAGAGGAUCGCGGAAUUCCCGGUGUAGAGGUGAAAUUCGUAGAUAUCAGGAGGAACACCGGUGGCGAAGGCGGAUCUCUGGGCCGUAACUGACGCUGAGGAGCGAAAGCAUGGGGAGCGAACAGG
RNAcentral lists this ribosomal RNA (253 nucleotides) under uncultured bacterium. RNAcentral describes it as "partial 16S ribosomal RNA". It matches the Rfam family "Bacterial small subunit ribosomal RNA", at positions 524 to 776 of the family's 1533-position model. The record is from RNAcentral.